This 861-nucleotide long non-coding RNA is filed under the name Bos taurus (domestic cattle). RNAcentral's name for it is "long non-coding RNA NONBTAT023051". Lineage: Eukaryota; Metazoa; Chordata; Mammalia; Artiodactyla; Bovidae. The record is from RNAcentral.
GGGGACAAAAUGAUUUCAUUCACAUAAUACAUUUUCUUUAAUUACUUUAAUACAAAAGACAGAAAUGUUUCAUGUUCACAUAACAUUAAAAAAAUGUUUUAAAACCCUAUAAUAAGUAUUAAAUGAAAAUUAAUUUAUUGAAUGGCAGUAAUCACUACAAAAUUAAUACUACUGAAUUAUUACUGAGACCUUUUGCAUUAACAGUAAUUGGAUGUUAUGUGGAGAAAAUAUCAAACAAGAAGAUGGAUGUUUUAAAACUACAUUUUAUCCAGUCUUUUAUCUUUUUGCUAAAUCUAGUGCAUAUUAGAAGAUGUAUUCAAGAUGGUUAUAAAGCUAUUCAGCUAAAGUAAUACUUCAAAGAUCUUAAAAGAGCCCUCUACAAAUGAUAUGACAUUGCUAUCAUUCCAUCUGUUUACAAAAUCAAAAAUAUAAGUAAUAACCCAAUGAGUCCUUCUAGGUAAAAGAUUCAAUUUAAAAAAGAGAACAUUAACAGAGAAUUAGUGAUGGUGAGCAGAAGAAAAUCAACAUAAUUAAGAAAGGUAUAUAAUUAUCCAACAUGACUUCGUCUGGUUAAACCAACGCAACUUAAUAAAUAACUUGACUGCAUUGUGAGUGAAAGGGGUAACAAGAUCCAGAGUCCUGUUUUCAAAUUCUCAUAUAAUAAUCCUACUUCAAUCAACCUGUAAAGCAAAAGCACUGAAUCCAUAUUAACAUCAUAACAUACAUCUUACAAUGAUACAAAGGUCAAACCGUUACUGGGAGAUCUCUGUCUUUGUGACAGUAUAGGAAAACUUCACAAGAGUGUGCACUUUUGAAAGUAUGAUCAGUGUAUACGGUAUAGACAAAACAGGCACCUCCAUU